GACGAACGCUGGCGGCGUGCUUAACACAUGCAAGUCGAACGGACAGGCCCUGCUUUUGUGGGGUGCUCGAGUGGCGAACGGGUGAGUAACACGUGAGUAACCUGCCCUUGACUUUGGGAUAACUUCAGGAAACUGGGGCUAAUACCGGAUAGGAGCUCCUGCUGCAUGGUGGUGGUUGGAAAGUUUCGGCGGUUGGGGAUGGACUCGCGGCUUAUCAGCUUGUUGGUGUGGUAGUUGCUUACCAAGGCUUUGACGGGUAGCCGGCCUGAGAGGGUGACCGGCCACAUUGGGACUGAGGUACGGCCCAGACUCCUACGGGCGGCAGCAGUGGGGAAUAUUGCACAAUGGGCGGAAGCCUGAUGCAGCAACGCCGCGUGCGGGAUGACGGCCUUCGGGUUGUAAACCGCUUUCGCCUGUGACGAAGCGUGAGUGACGGUAAUGGGUAAAGAAGCACCGGCUAACUACGUG
Molecule: ribosomal RNA, 468 nt
Filed under: uncultured bacterium
Lineage: Bacteria
Description: partial 16S ribosomal RNA
Rfam family: Bacterial small subunit ribosomal RNA
Source: RNAcentral